Molecule: ribosomal RNA, 761 nt
Filed under: Bacillus sp. (in: firmicutes)
Lineage: Bacteria; Bacillati; Bacillota; Bacilli; Caryophanales; Bacillaceae
Description: bacterial SSU rRNA
Rfam family: Bacterial small subunit ribosomal RNA
Source: RNAcentral
AGCUUGCUCCCAUUUCUCAGCGGCGGACGGGUGAGUAACACGUGGGCAACCUGCCCUACAGACUGGGAUAACUCCGGGAAACCGGAGCUAAUACCGGGUAAUACAUAGCAUCGCAUGAUGCAACGUUGAAAGUUGGCCUUUGGCUAACACUGUAGGAUGGGCCCGCGGCGCAUUAGCUAGUUGGUAAGGUAACGGCUUACCAAGGCCACGAUGCGUAGCCGACCUGAGAGGGUGAUCGGCCACACUGGGACUGAGACACGGCCCAGACUCCUACGGGAGGCAGCAGUAGGGAAUCUUCCGCAAUGGACGAAAGUCUGACGGAGCAACGCCGCGUGAGUGACGAAGGCCUUCGGGUCGUAAAGCUCUGUUGUUAGGGAAGAACAAGUACCGUUCGAAUAGGGCGGUACCUUGACGGUACCUAACCAGAAAGCCACGGCUAACUACGUGCCAGCAGCCGCGGUAAUACGUAGGUGGCAAGCGUUGUCCGGAAUUAUUGGGCGUAAAGCGCGCGCAGGCGGUCUCUUAAGUCUGAUGUGAAAGCCCACGGCUCAACCGUGGAGGGCCAUUGGAAACUGGGGGACUUGAGUGCAGAAGAGGAGAGUGGAAUUCCACGUGUAGCGGUGAAAUGCGUAGAUAUGUGGAGGAACACCAGUGGCGAAGGCGGCUCUCUGGUCUGUAACUGACGCUGAGGCGCGAAAGCGUGGGGAGCGAACAGGAUUAGAUACCCUGGUAGUCCACGCCGUAAACGAUGAGUGCUAGUG